AUGGAGGAGGUACAGAGACAGUAUAGAGGAAGAACAGAGGUGAUAUGGAGGUGGUUCAGAGGGAGGAGAUACAGAGAUGAUAUGGAGGCAAUACAGAGGCAGUAUAGAGGAGGUACAGAGGUGAUAUGGAGGUGGUUCAGAGGGAGGAGGUACAGAGGUGCUAUAGAGGUGGUACAGAGGCAGUAUAGAGGAGGUACAGAGGUGAUAUGGAAGUGGUUCAGAGGGUGGAGGUACAGAGGUGAUAUGGAAGCAGUACACUGGCGGUAUGGAGGUGGUACAGAGGUGGUUUGGAGGCAUUAUGGAGGCAGUACGGUUUUUGUAUAACUUCAGAACGGACUGCCAUGCACACCAACUGUGAUUUGUGUCCAGAUAUCUGCUCCUACGAGAGCUCCAAAUGUUUAGAAAUAUGACAGAAUAAAAAUAAAUCUGUAAAAUAACAUGAAUGAUCAUACACUGAACCCGUGCCCGUUGUUAAUAAUAAAAGAAAAGAUGGCAAAAAUAAUGUGACACGGGUUUGAUUUUGAAAUAUAGCAAAUGCACUUCGCUGGCACAUGUAAAUUAAUGUAAAUUCUUUAACUUCUUCAUAAUUCACAUGCAACAUUUGGAAAAAAUAAACUCCAAUGCGAAAACGUUCUAGAGCUCUCUGAGGAAGCUUUACGGAAACCAAACUGUAUCAAUUCCUCAUUCGGUGUAAAUAAAUGAGGAAUGGCUACAGAUUAGAAUCUGUGAGACUUAGUUAGUUUUGGACACAUUAUUAAAACACUUUGGAUUUAAACAUAUUGUCAGUUCGACAAAAUAUGAUUAUAUAAAAUGUAUAAAAUUAUAAAGUCAUUUUCUGAGCCAGAAAAGAUAAACUUUAUUCAAAGAGGGUAGAUAAGAAGUCUUGCGUCUUCUGCAGCAUCCUGAUGUCCUGUGUGAUAUCACACAGGUUAGUUUUGGAUAUGGGUCAAGAUCAUAGAUUCCAUAUGUGUACCACAGCAUCAGAUUGACUGUACAAGUAUGACCUGUAAGUAAAAAAGUUAACUUCUGAUCAACUUCUGAUCUGAUGGAGAGGCUGAGAGACUGGGUAGGCCUAUCAGGAUCUGCUCUGGAGUGGUUCUCCUCUUAUCUUUCUGAGCGCUCCUUUUCUGUGGCCGUCUCCGUUUAGGUCCUCCACCAACUCCCUUACCCAUGGUGUCCCACAAGGUUCUGUGCUGGGGCCUCUGCUCUUCCUCCUCUAUCUGCUUCCUCUUCUCUUGUUUGCUCUUCCUUCCUCCAUCUCAGGAACAUUGCUAAGCUCAGUCCCAUUCUGUCCCACUCUGAACUUGAGACAGUUAUCCACACCUUCAUCUCCUCACACUUAGACUACUGUAACUCUCUUUUCACGUGUCUGAGCAGAACCUCCCUGAACCGUCUACAGGUGGUUCAGAAUGCUUGUGCUCGGCUUCUGACCAAGUCCUCCAAACACACCCACAUCACCCCGCUUCUCCUCCAGCUUCACUGGCUGCCAGUCAACUUCAGGGUUCAUUUCAAGAUCCUGGUUCUGGUCUAUAGGGCCUUACAUGGACAAGCACCAUCUUACAUUGGUGAUCUUCUUAGUCCCUACACCNNNNNNNNNNNNNNNNNNNNNNNNNNNNNNNNNNNNNNNNNNNACCUGCAGUCUGAGAGCGAAGUGCUCGGUUAGGAACGUAUGGAACAAUCAGAUCACUGAUGUAUGAUGGAGCUUGAUUAUUAAGAGCUUUAUAUGUGAGAAGAAGGAUCUUAAAAUCUAUUCUGAAUUUAACAGGUAGCCAAUGUAGGGAAGCUAAGACAGGAGAGAUAUGAUCUCUCUUUUUAAUUCUCAUCAGAACUCUAGCUGCAGCAUUUUGGACAAGCUGAAGACUUUUAACUACAUUCUGUGGACUUCCUGAGAGUAAUGAAUUACAGUAAUCCAGUCUUGAUGUAAUAAAUGCAUGAACUAGUUUUUCAGCAUCACUCCUGGAAAGGAUGCUUCUAAUCUUAGCAAUAUUCCGAAGGUGGAAAAAGGAAAUCCUACAAACCUGUUUAACGUGGGAUUUGAAUGACAUGUCCUGGUCAACGAUAACAUCAAGAUUCCUUACAUUGUUCUCGGAGACUAAUGUAAUGCCAUUCAGGUCAGGUGAUUGACUAAGCAAUUUCCUUUUCUGGAUUUAAGGUCCAAAGAUGACAACUUCAGUCUUGUCCUUACUGAAUUAAUCUCCUGAUUUACAGAAAUCAUAAACUCUGUCCGCCCAUGUCUUCUGGGUCAUCCUGCUGCAGCCAUGACACCAGAACUGAACCUUGAAGGAAUGCAAAUGGCUGUCUGCAUUUCAUGCCUGAGUUUAGCAGUACUGGAUCAUCUGAUGCUGAGAAGUGAUGAAGUCAGCAUGAAGAUCAAACAGAAUGCUGUCUCAGCUCAGAGAAUAAAUCACACCGUUUGUGUUACAUGGUUCUGCAGCACUGCUGUUGGAGACAAAGGGAAUUUUCAGAGUUUUAAGUUUCUAAUUUCAACCUGAUGCACAAGUCAAAGAAGAAGAAAAGCUGGUUCUGAGAAAGUACCUAAAGAGCUGAUGUUUCUACACAGGCAGUUAACAACGACCACAUUUGGAUUAAUGAUGGAGCAUUCAGGGUGGAUUUAUCCAAUUGAUCUGCUGUAGAGCAGCGAGGACAGGGUUCUGAGGUCAGAGGUGUGAGCUACAGGCCCAGUCUUUGGUUCUGACCCAGUAAUGUGCCAUGUUAGCUCGCCCCACCUAGCACAGGGAGGUGAGUUACUCCCUCUGACUGUUAGAUGGGAGCAUUCAGCUGUCUCAUCCAUCUGCUGAUGAAGGCCUCCAUGAUGUCAUCUUUCUGACAACUGGUUCUCUGGGUAAGGUCAGCGACACAGAACCGACCCAAGUUCCACAAACCCACUAAAGCAACACUGGCAUGAGAGAAAAAAAGCAAAACUCUGGUUGUUGUGUGUUUUAUCUUGUUGGAAUGAGAAUGAGUCUUUGAUUCUUCAUGUUUAUUAGAUUUAAAGCCACCUCUGAUGGAUGUGGUGAUCAUGUUUAGAGUCAAAGUGACUGCACUGAUGGAAACCUGUAAUCCAUUAAAGUCCAUACCGAUUUUUAACCCAAUUCUCCCCUUCAGAAAAUCUUAAGGAUGUGCAGAAACACUGUAACGGCUCUAAAGAUAAUCUUAUCAAAUUAUCCUACCGUGUGUGGAGUGUUAAGAGUGCUCUGAUCCCCCCGGGAGAACGUCUGUUCUGAUCUGAUCGUUUCUCCGGAUUUUCAAACAUGAUAGAUUUUUGAGGACACGUGAACAUGCUGCCUGUUGAACCUGUGUAGCCAAUCACAUGGGACGAUUUCAUCCUAUGACAGGGGGACGUCCGUGAGUGAAAGCAGGUUGUGUGUAGUUUGAGCUACGUUGCUGCCCAUCAUACACUGCUGGACCAAAGCUGCUGUAUCCGAGAUAUUUUUAACACCAUGUCUCUCAUGCUUUGAAAAUUGGCCGACAAUUUAAAAAACCUGGAAACCAGUUUCCUCCUCUACAUUCCACCAGAUAACUUAUUCCUUUUGAAAGAAUCUCAGUUCCGACUGCUGACGGUUGAGACCUCAGCUUGUCCUCAGGUGUUCCUGAUCUUUGGUCAGUAGAUCUGGGAACUUGGUGUCAUUUUAAACUGUUUGGAGCAUUCUCAGCCUACUUUUAGAAGUAAUAGACAUUUCCCGCAGAGUAUAAAUAAGUGCUUUGUUAACAGGCCGAAGAAGCUAUCGCAGACUUCCCCCUCCCCAGUGAAGCUGUUUAGCUUCUCCUGGGGAGUCCGCAAGUAUUCCAGGUGUGUGGGUCUGCUCUAGGGUUUCCUUCUAGUGCUCAGGAAACCCCCCAGAGAAAGUUGAGCAUGAGGUAUCCUGGUCAAAUGCUCAAACUUCUUCAGCUUACUCAUUCUGAUGAAGAGGAGCAGCAGCUUCACUACUGCCCCCACAUUUUGCUAAAGAAACUCCAAAUCUGACGUUGUUCAGCAUGACAGCCAUGCUAUAAUCUGCAUGACCCACAUUAUCUGAUGAACCUGGCUGGACUGCAUUUGGAAACCUUCAAUUGCCUUGUGCUCUUAGGGUUAGCCAAAAAGGUUACCUGCAUUUCUAAGCCUUCCUAAAAUCUAUGUCAGAAACACUUUUUCACAACGAUACUGCCAUGAUCACACACACACACACACACACGCACGCACACACACACACACACAUGCACACACACCGCCAUGCUAAACAGGGUUAGGGUUAUAAACUGUUGGAUAAGGUCUGCUGAAGGAUGGUGUCCCUCAAGGGCCAAAGCUCAAACCCUUUCAUGAACAUUUACUCUUUCUGUGUGUAACAGAGAAUUCACUGCAUUCUUAAUAACUCCUCUAAGACCAUUCUUAGACCCUUCGGCGGCCAUUUACACGGUGGCUGAGGCUUGUUCUACCUGGGUCUUCAUCCAGUAGGAAGGGGGUCCAAGAAUUUAAUCCAAAAAAACUCAGAUUGAACAUCUCGAUGGCUCAGCAGCAUUACAGGUCCUUCUCAAAAAUUAUCAUUUGCGAUAAAGUUCAUUAUUGUCUGUAAUGUAGUGAUAAACAUUAGACUUUCAUAUAUAUUAGAUUCAUUCACAGUAGUUCAAGCCUUUUAUUGUUUCUAAUAUUGAUGAUUUUGGCAUACAGCUCAUGAAAACCCAAAAUUCCUAUCUCAAAAAUUAGCACAUUUCAUCUGACCAAUAAAAGAAAAGAGUUUUUAAUACAAGAAAAGUCAACCUUCAAAUAAUUAUCUUCAGUUAUGUACUCAGUACUUGGUCAGGAAUCCUUUUGCAGAAAUGACUGCUUCAAUGCGGCGUUGCAUGGAGGCAAUCAGUCUGUGGCACUGCUGAGGUGUUAAGGAGGCCCAGGAUGCUUCGAUAACGACCUUAAGCUCAUCCAGAGUGUUGGGUCUUGCGUCUCUCAACUUUUCUUCACAAUAUCCCACAGAUUCUCUCUGGGGUUCAGGUCAGGAGAGUUGGCAGGCCAAUUGAGCACAGUAAUACCAUGGUCAGUAAACCAUUUAGCAGUGGUUUUGGCACUGUGAGCAGGUGCCAGGCCCAUCCAUCCAUCCAUCCAUCCAUCCAUCCAUCCAUCCAUUUUCAUCCGCUUAUCUGGAG
RNAcentral lists this long non-coding RNA (5115 nucleotides) under Nothobranchius furzeri (turquoise killifish). Its description in RNAcentral is "lncRNA (ENSNFUG00015012202.1)". Lineage: Eukaryota; Metazoa; Chordata; Actinopteri; Cyprinodontiformes; Nothobranchiidae. The record is from RNAcentral.